AAAUCCGAUUAUGACGUCAAAUUGUCUUGCUUUCCUUUGAAAUUCCUAUUGUGACGGCAUGAAAAAAGCGACCAUGCCUGAUGACGUCACAUAGAAAGAACACAUCUUUUGCAGAUCAUUCGAAAAGAAGGAAUAAGUUUGCCUGCAUAAUGUUAGAAAAUCAUUAGAGAAACAGAUUCCACCACCAAAUCUCGUGUAAUACGAUAUUUAUCCACUCUCGACAGUUAAAUUUUAAAUAUUUAAAACGCUCGGACAAGCCUCGCGUUUUAAAUUUCGAAAAUUUAACUGUCUCGAGUUGAUAAAUAUCGUAUUACACUCGAUGCAGUGGUAGAAUCUAUAUUUCUCA
This 346-nucleotide long non-coding RNA is filed under the name Mytilus galloprovincialis (Mediterranean mussel). Lineage: Eukaryota; Metazoa; Mollusca; Bivalvia; Mytilida; Mytilidae. The record is from RNAcentral.